UUCCAUCCAGUGAUAACGUAGAUAUUAAACUAUUAAACCAGACAGACAUAACGUUAUAAACGACAAGUUAAGCUAACAUUAUUAGCUAGCUAGGUACCGUUAGCUAGCUCUGUAUGCUAUGCUAACUUAGCCUGCUAUCUAUUUUUGCGAAAUAGCUGUGAUUUCUCUUAGCAAUGCAUAAUUUGAACUGAAUGCUUGCUACAGCCAGAGAACAACAUUUUCUCGGCAGUUUAUUUUGUUGUUGCGUCGGCAAUGUAUGAGGAUUUUGAUGAACCCCAGCCAAACCAGUCAAAUCCACUGGUUCCUGACUGUAUCCAUGGUAACCAGAGCACAAGCGUUCCAGAGAUGGUUCCUAGGAGCCUUGACUACUUCAGUGACUUUCUAAGAUUGAGAGGAGAGAGUUCCAGCCAUCAUUCUGAAAGUGAGGGGG
This is a long non-coding RNA of Coregonus clupeaformis (lake whitefish), 430 nucleotides long. RefSeq lists it as uncharacterized. NCBI's taxonomy places the organism in Eukaryota, Metazoa, Chordata, Actinopteri, Salmoniformes, Salmonidae. The record is from RefSeq and is a predicted model, not a curated record. The transcript has 3 exons.